CAGUGUGUGAGCAUGCAAGGGGCUGAGGGGCGUUUUUGGGGCCUUACUGCUCCUGUUGACUCAUAAAGUGCUUGUUUGCAUUUGCCAGGUUUCAAACUAUUCUUCAAUGUGUUGUCAUAUGAAAAACAGGCAGGAAUAUGUGUAAUGGUUGCUUAACCCAUUGCAUUUACAGGUAACUCAGCACAAGAGGGAUGUUUUUGCUGUCGGCCUCAUUUAGGCUCAGGGAACACCAGGUUCCUUUCAUUUUCACAAAUACAGAUUUCAGGAGUAAUGCAACCAAGUGUAAAGUGAUGCUAGCUGUGUUUUCAAUUUAUAGACACAUAUUUUUAAGUGUGUGUUUAGACUUGUAAAAAUCAAGUGCAAGAGUUAUCACAUUCAGAAAUUAAAACUCUUGCAGCCAUAAUUCACAUCUCUGGAUAUGGAAGUAGCUUUCUGGUCCCAUCAGCAGUGUCCCCUCCCCCUUGGUCAGUGUGCAGCAUGCUUAGUGUUCAGCUGGUGAUAAACUUGUUGGUUUCUUCUAUUUAUUUAUUUUUAUUUUUACUUUUUAAAUGAAUGAAUAUAUUAUGAAUGUGCUCUCAUUCUAUGCUGCUCUGAAGACAGAAUUGUUCUUUUUGUGUACUGUUAAUGCUUGUGAAGUCUCAGAGCAAGUGCAUGCAGCCUGCAUUGCUCACAUCUUACAGGUGGAAAAUGGAGUACAGAGGUAACAAGGUAAAUAUGCUUGGAAGUGUUGGGUGUCUAGAUUGCACUCAAGGGCUUUUUCUUUCUUUCUUUUUUUUUUUUUCUUCUUGGAGUUCUUUGUUAUAAGUUAGUCAUUCAAAGCAUGUAUUUGUUUGUCAUCACUUACAGCUCCUGUUGGUUCCUAUUUGUCAUCCACCCAGUGAAUUCUGCUCAUCUGAAUAUCAGCUCCCUCCUGAGCACUGGAAGAGUUAUAGCCCAUCUCUCUGGACUCCCCCAUCUUCUUUCUUCCUUGCUGUGCUGUUCUGUUUUCUUUACUACUAGAGUGCUUCAUGAGAGUACUUAGUAUCCAGCUCCUAAUCACCUUGUUCAGUGAGUUGUAGUCUUCCCACCUGGGUUUUAUCUAAUCUCCCUUUCAAAUUGACAUGUAUGUAUGUGCUGGCUUUCAGUUUCUGUGGUGUUUUCCCUCUCUUUCUAUGGUGUUUUCCCUGUCUUUCUAAGGUGGUUUCCCUCUCAGCCCUCAUCUGGGUCUGCCAGUGCUCUUGUGCUGCCUGCCAGCACAGAAUUUUCACUGCUCAUUAUUUCUUGAUUUAUUCUCACUGUCUGUUUGUUCCCUUCACAUUCAAAGCAGAUGGCUUGUCGCUUAUUUGCCUGGAGCUAGCAACAGUGGAGGGAACUGAGAAUGAGGAGAUAACAGGUUUCAGACUAGAAGCAUCAUAAAGAGAAGUGACAACAUUCUAGAACAAAAUGGUCACCUCUACCUGAGGGAUGCCUGUGGAAGAAGAAGGCUCAGGAGGGAAGAAGCAGUGUACUGUCUGCCAUCAUCAGCUGAAUUGGAGGGAGAAACAAGUGUGCUGCAAGCUCUUCUGGAGAAUGAACUGGGAUUACCUGUGUGCAGUCCCUGCAAGCCCAUUCAGGAGGAUGAAGAAAUGUAUGUAGAGUCCCCAGGAGCUGCUUCCUGUAGUGCAGCAUGAUACAGCACAAAGAAGCCAACCAAACAAGCAAGUAACGGACUGCAGAUUCCUAAUGGAAAGACCUAACAUGAUCAAAGAAUGUCAAGGACAGUGAUUUUAGACUUACAGUAGGACGGAGAUUAAUUGGACUAAUGUAAUUGUUAUGGCCUUUUGUUUUGAUGAAGGAGCACACCAGGCCAGAUUAUCACUGUUGACUUUAUGUCUGUGUUAGGUUUUUCAUCACUGAACUCAAGGGAGGAAUGCUGCUGUCAGCAGUGUCUUGCAGACCCGUGUCAUACAAGAAAUGGCAGGGCUUGAUUUUCAGGAAUUAGUUGCGAUUCUUCAGUGCAAGAGGGACCAUGAUUAUAAGGAUAUAUGUACAAAGGGAUUGCUCGGAAUCUUGCUGAAACUUUUACAGAAUCUGUUUCAAAUAAAGUUACCUUUUCUUUUCUUUUCUUUUCUUUUCUUUUCUUUUCUUUUCUUUUCUUUUCUUUUC
Non-coding RNA from Coturnix japonica (Japanese quail), 2124 nucleotides. NCBI's taxonomy places the organism in Eukaryota, Metazoa, Chordata, Aves, Galliformes, Phasianidae. The record is from RefSeq and is a predicted model, not a curated record.